UCGAGGAUCUUCGGCAAUGGGCGCAAGCCUGACCGAGCGAGGCCGCGUGGGCGAUGAAGGCCUUCGGGUUGUAAAGCCCUGUCGAGGGGGAGAAAAGCCGAAAGGCGUGAUCUAUCCCUGGAGGAAGCACGGGCUAAGUUCGUGCCAGCAGCCGCGGUAAGACGAACCGUGCGAACGUUGUUCGGAAUCACUGGGCUUAAAGGGCGCGUAGGCGGGCUAUCAAGUCCGGGGUGAAAUCCUCCAGCUUAACUGGAGAACGGCCUCGGAUACUGAUGGUCUCGAGGAGGAUAGGGGCACACGGAACUGUGGGUGGAGCGGUGAAAUGCGUUGAUAUCCAUAGGAACUCCGGUGGCGAAAGCGGUGUGCUGGAUCCUUUCUGACGCUGAGGCGCGAAAGCCAGGGGAGCAAACGG
This 412-nucleotide ribosomal RNA is filed under the name uncultured bacterium. RNAcentral describes it as "bacterial SSU rRNA". It matches the Rfam family "Bacterial small subunit ribosomal RNA", at positions 355 to 775 of the family's 1533-position model. The record is from RNAcentral.